UCUUUCUCUCUCUCUUUCUCUCACUCUCUUUCUCUCUUGCUCUUUCUCUCUCUCUCUUUCUCUGUCUCUCUCACUCUCUUCUCUCUCUUUUCCUGUCUCUCUCUCACUUUCUUUCUCUCUCUUUCUCUCUUGUUCUUUCUUUCUCUCACUCUCUUUCUUUCUCUCUCUCUUUCUGUCUCUCUCUCACUUUCUUUCUUUCUCUCUCUCUCUUUCUCUCUCUCUCUCUUUCUCUCGUUCAAAGGUCUAAACGCCUUCCCAGCAGUGCAGUUGCUGAAAAAGAAGAGCAAUCUUCUGAGGAGGCAGAGCCACAGCAUUGGAUGCCACGGUUUCUGAAGAAAUCCAAACCGAAGAGGAUUGCCAGCUUCCGUACAAAAUCCUUGAAGAAAUUGCAGCUGGGAGGAGACCAGGUGACAGAGUUGUCUAAAAUCUUCAGCGAGGAUUUCUUCAAGAGCCAAGAUAGGAGAGUCUCCGAAGAUAUCGCCGAUGAAGAUCUACCCCAAGGUACACACGGUGGUGGCCAGACAACGGAG
This is a non-coding RNA of Pantherophis guttatus, 530 nucleotides long. The record is from RefSeq and is a predicted model, not a curated record. Lineage: Eukaryota; Metazoa; Chordata; Lepidosauria; Squamata; Colubridae.